This is a non-coding RNA of Schistosoma haematobium, 78 nucleotides long. The record is from Rfam. Lineage: Eukaryota; Metazoa; Platyhelminthes; Trematoda; Strigeidida; Schistosomatidae.
AGCCUUCUGAAUCCGUGCUGAGAUUUCGUCAGACACCAGCCAGUUAAAACUGAUGAGACUCCCAAGAUAAGUGUAGUG